RNAcentral lists this ribosomal RNA (496 nucleotides) under uncultured bacterium. RNAcentral describes it as "partial 16S ribosomal RNA". It matches the Rfam family "Bacterial small subunit ribosomal RNA", at positions 30 to 523 of the family's 1533-position model. The record is from RNAcentral.
AUUGAACGCUGGCGGAAUGCUUUACACAUGCAAGUCGAACGGUAGAGGGGGCAACCCCUCGAGAGUGGCGAACGGGUGAGUAAUAUAUCGGAACGUGCCCAGUCGUGGGGGAUAACGUAGCGAAAGUUACGCUAAUACCGCAUACGAUCUAAGGAUGAAAGCGGGGGAUCGCAAGACCUCGCGCGAUUGGCGCGGCCGAUAUCAGAUUAGGUAGUUGGUGGGGUAAAGGCUCACCAAGCCAACGAACUGUAGCUGGUCUGAGAGGACGACCAGCCAAACUGGGACGGGGAGACGGUCCAGGCUCCUACGGGAGGCAGCAGUGGGGAAUUUUGGACAAUGGGCGAAAGCCUGAUCCAGCCAUGCCGCGUGCAGGAUGAAGGCCCUCGGGUUGUAAACUGCUUUUGUACAGAACGAAAAGGUUUCUACUAAUACUAGGAGCUCAUGACGGUACUGUAAGAAUAAGCACCGGCUAACUACGUGCCAGCAGCCGCAGUAA